Molecule: ribosomal RNA, 1419 nt
Filed under: Staphylococcus pseudoxylosus
Lineage: Bacteria; Bacillati; Bacillota; Bacilli; Caryophanales; Staphylococcaceae
Description: bacterial SSU rRNA
Rfam family: Bacterial small subunit ribosomal RNA
Source: RNAcentral
AAGUCGAGCGAACAGAUAAGGAGCUUGCUCCUUUGACGUUAGCGGCGGACGGGUGAGUAACACGUGGGUAACCUACCUAUAAGACUGGGAUAACUUCGGGAAACCGGAGCUAAUACCGGAUAACAUUUGGAACCGCAUGGUUCUAAAGUGAAAGAUGGUUUUGCUAUCACUUAUAGAUGGACCCGCGCCGUAUUAGCUAGUUGGUAAGGUAACGGCUUACCAAGGCGACGAUACGUAGCCGACCUGAGAGGGUGAUCGGCCACACUGGAACUGAGACACGGUCCAGACUCCUACGGGAGGCAGCAGUAGGGAAUCUUCCGCAAUGGGCGAAAGCCUGACGGAGCAACGCCGCGUGAGUGAUGAAGGGUUUCGGCUCGUAAAACUCUGUUAUUAGGGAAGAACAAAUGUGUAAGUAACUGUGCACAUCUUGACGGUACCUAAUCAGAAAGCCACGGCUAACUACGUGCCAGCAGCCGCGGUAAUACGUAGGUGGCAAGCGUUAUCCGGAAUUAUUGGGCGUAAAGCGCGCGUAGGCGGUUUCUUAAGUCUGAUGUGAAAGCCCACGGCUCAACCGUGGAGGGUCAUUGGAAACUGGGAAACUUGAGUGCAGAAGAGGAAAGUGGAAUUCCAUGUGUAGCGGUGAAAUGCGCAGAGAUAUGGAGGAACACCAGUGGCGAAGGCGACUUUCUGGUCUGUAACUGACGCUGAUGUGCGAAAGCGUGGGGAUCAAACAGGAUUAGAUACCCUGGUAGUCCACGCCGUAAACGAUGAGUGCUAAGUGUUAGGGGGUUUCCGCCCCUUAGUGCUGCAGCUAACGCAUUAAGCACUCCGCCUGGGGAGUACGACCGCAAGGUUGAAACUCAAAGGAAUUGACGGGGACCCGCACAAGCGGUGGAGCAUGUGGUUUAAUUCGAAGCAACGCGAAGAACCUUACCAAAUCUUGACAUCCUUUGAAAACUCUAGAGAUAGAGCCUUCCCCUUCGGGGGACAAAGUGACAGGUGGUGCAUGGUUGUCGUCAGCUCGUGUCGUGAGAUGUUGGGUUAAGUCCCGCAACGAGCGCAACCCUUAAGCUUAGUUGCCAUCAUUAAGUUGGGCACUCUAGGUUGACUGCCGGUGACAAACCGGAGGAAGGUGGGGAUGACGUCAAAUCAUCAUGCCCCUUAUGAUUUGGGCUACACACGUGCUACAAUGGACAAUACAAAGGGCAGCUAAACCGCGAGGUCAUGCAAAUCCCAUAAAGUUGUUCUCAGUUCGGAUUGUAGUCUGCAACUCGACUACAUGAAGCUGGAAUCGCUAGUAAUCGUAGAUCAGCAUGCUACGGUGAAUACGUUCCCGGGUCUUGUACACACCGCCCGUCACACCACGAGAGUUUGUAACACCCGAAGCCGGUGGAGUAACCAUUUAUGGAGCUAGCCGUC